CUGUGAAUUGGAUAUUACAAUGAAGUUGUUUGCCAUAAAUUUUGAAGAUUUAGACGGUGGCUAGAAUUUUUAUCAGUUUUCUGGACUUUGUGAUUUAUGCUUUUUUUCUUGCUUAAGCUAUUCCCCUUCGCUUCAGUGUCUCGAGGCUUCGAUGCAAAUAUGAGGAAGGGAUAGGUGAUUAAUAUAACUUGGGAAUAUUUUGACUUAUAUGAUGGUUGAAGUGUAUAAUUUAAUGUGCACAGUAUGGGUCAAUUUAUGUUGGUUUCAACUGAAGAUAUUGAGACUGGAGUUUGCAAAUUGUGCU
Molecule: unclassified non-coding RNA, 304 nt
Filed under: Hevea brasiliensis (rubber tree)
Lineage: Eukaryota; Viridiplantae; Streptophyta; Magnoliopsida; Malpighiales; Euphorbiaceae
Source: RNAcentral